This 388-nucleotide ribosomal RNA is filed under the name uncultured bacterium. RNAcentral's name for it is "bacterial SSU rRNA". It matches the Rfam family "Bacterial small subunit ribosomal RNA", at positions 28 to 417 of the family's 1533-position model. The record is from RNAcentral.
GACGAACGCUGGUGGCGUGCUUAGCACAUGCAAGUCGAGCGGUAAGGCCCUUUCGGGGGUACACGAGCGGCGAACGGGUGAGUAACACGUGGGUGACCUGCCCCCAGCUCUGGGAUAAGCCUGGGAAACCGGGUCUAAUACCGGAUAGGACUCCAUGACGCAUGUUGUGGGGUGGAAAGCCUUGUGCGGCUGAGGAUGGGCCCGCGGCCUAUCAGCUUGUUGGUGGGGUGAUGGCCUACCAAGGCGACGACGGGUAGCCGGCCUGAGAGGGCGACCGGCCACACUGGGACUGAGACACGGCCCAGACUCCUACGGGAGGCAGCAGUGGGGAAUCUUGCGCAAUGGGCGAAAGCCUGACGCAGCGACGCCGCGUGAGGGAUGACGGCCU